RNAcentral lists this ribosomal RNA (226 nucleotides) under uncultured bacterium. RNAcentral's name for it is "partial 16S ribosomal RNA". It matches the Rfam family "Bacterial small subunit ribosomal RNA", at positions 524 to 747 of the family's 1533-position model. The record is from RNAcentral.
UACGUAGGGUGCAAGCGUUAAUCGGAAUUACUGGGCGUAAAGCGUGCGCAGGCGGUUUUGUAAGUCUGACGUGAAAUCCCCGGGCUCAACCUGGGAAUUGCGUUGGAGACUGCAAGGCUAGAAUCUGGCAGGAGGGGGUAGAAUUCCACGUGUAGCAGUGAAAUGACGUAGAGAUGUGGAGGAACACCGAUGGCGAAGGGCAGCCCCCUGGGUCAAGAUUGACGCU